This 482-nucleotide ribosomal RNA is filed under the name uncultured bacterium. Its description in RNAcentral is "partial 16S ribosomal RNA". It matches the Rfam family "Bacterial small subunit ribosomal RNA", at positions 30 to 507 of the family's 1533-position model. The record is from RNAcentral.
AUUGAACGCUGGCGGCAUGCUUUACACAUGCAAGUCGAACGGUAACAGGCCGCAAGGUGCUGACGAGUGGCGAACGGGUGAGUAAUGCAUCGGAACGUGCCCAGUCGUGGGGGAUAACUACUCGAAAGAGUAGCUAAUAACGCAUACGAUCUAUGGAUGAAAGCGGGGGACCGUAAGGCCUCGCGCGAUUGGAGCGGCCGAUGUCAGAUUAGGUAGUUGGUGGGGUAAAGGCUCACCAAGCCAACGAUCUGUAGCUGGUCUGAGAGGACGACCAGCCACACUGGGACUGAGACACGGCCCAGACUCCGACGGGGGGCAGCAGUGGGGAAUUUUGGACAAUGGGCGCAAGCCUGAUCCAGCAAUGCCGCGUGCAGGAAGAAGGCCUUCGGGUUGUAAACUGCUUUUGUACGGAACGAAACGGCUCUGGUUAAUACCCGGGGCUAAUGACGGUACCGUAAGAAUAAGCACCGGCUAACUACGUG